GCCGGGCGCGGUGGCGCGCGCCUGUAGUCCUAGCUACUCGGGAGGCUGAGGCAGGAGGAUCGCUUGAGUCCAGGAGUUCUGGGCUGCAGUGCGCUAUGCCUAUCGGGUGUCCGCACUAAGUUCGGCAUCAAUAUGGUGACCUCCCAGGAGCGGGGGACCACCAGGUUGCCUAAGGAGGGGUGAACCAGCCCAGGUCAGAGAUUGGUUAUGAAGUUGGAGUAUGAAUUGGUACAAUCCUUUUGACUAUUUGGUAAAUAGUAUCAAGAAUCUUGGGCUGGUAGAGUGGCUCA
RNAcentral lists this small RNA (290 nucleotides) under Castor canadensis (American beaver). Its description in RNAcentral is "Metazoan signal recognition particle RNA (ENSCCNG00000013582.1)". It matches the Rfam family "Metazoan signal recognition particle RNA", at positions 1 to 207 of the family's 299-position model. From Rfam's summary of the family: The signal recognition particle (SRP) is a universally conserved ribonucleoprotein. It is involved in the co-translational targeting of proteins to membranes. The eukaryotic SRP consists of a 300-nucleotide 7S RNA and six proteins: SRPs 72, 68, 54, 19, 14, and 9. The record is from RNAcentral. Lineage: Eukaryota; Metazoa; Chordata; Mammalia; Rodentia; Castoridae.